UACGUAGGGGGCUAGCGUUGUCCGGAAUCAUUGGGCGUAAAGCGCGUGUAGGCGGUUUGGUAAGUCCGCUGUGAAAGUCGGGGGCUCAACCCUCGAAUGCCGGUGGAUACUGUCGAACUAGAGUGCGGAAGAGGCGAGUGGAAUUCCUGGUGUAGCGGUGAAAUGCGCAGAUAUCAGGAGGAACACCAAUUGCGAAGGCAGCUCACUGGGACGUAACUGACGCUGAGACGCGAAAGCGUGGGGAGCAAACAGG
RNAcentral lists this ribosomal RNA (253 nucleotides) under uncultured bacterium. RNAcentral describes it as "partial 16S ribosomal RNA". It matches the Rfam family "Bacterial small subunit ribosomal RNA", at positions 524 to 776 of the family's 1533-position model. The record is from RNAcentral.